This 73-nucleotide small nucleolar RNA is filed under the name Candidatus Halobonum tyrrellensis G22. Lineage: Archaea; Methanobacteriati; Methanobacteriota; Halobacteria; Halobacteriales; Haloferacaceae. The record is from RNAcentral.
GGCCGAUGACGAGGCGACCGGGCCGAGCCGGGGUGGCACCCGCGCGACGACGAGCCCUAUGAGUGCCGAGGCC